This 253-nucleotide ribosomal RNA is filed under the name uncultured bacterium. RNAcentral's name for it is "partial 16S ribosomal RNA". It matches the Rfam family "Bacterial small subunit ribosomal RNA", at positions 524 to 776 of the family's 1533-position model. The record is from RNAcentral.
UACGGAGGGGGCUAGCGUUGUUCGGAAUUACUGGGCGUAAAGCGCACGUAGGCGGCUUUGUAAGUUAGAGGUGAAAGCCCAGGGCUUAACCCUGGAAUUGCCUUUAAGACUGCAUCGCUAGAAUCGUGGAGAGGUGAGUGGAAUUCCGAGUGUAGAGGUGAAAUUCGUAGAUAUCAGGAGGAACACCAAUAGCGAAGGCAGCUCGCUGGGACGUUACUGACACUAAGGCGCGAAAGCGUGGGGAGCAAACAGG